GUUUAAAGGAAUGCAAACAACCCAGAGCAUUUUUUCCUCCUAUCCUAGAACACAUCUGUGGUGUAGCCAGACCUUACUCCACAGCGCUGUGGAGAUCGGUUCGUGCAACAGUAUUUGUCCCCAAAAAACAUUUUAAUGCCAAAACCCAGAGAGUGUGAUUGUGUGAUCAGCUACAGUAAAACACUGGACAAGUGAAGGAGUGUGGCAAGACAGAAAGAAGUGCUACUUUGCUCAGACCCAGUGGAGUUAUUGGGCUUUUUUGUUGUAAGGGUCAAACCAUCCAACUGAACACCUUAUCAGGUGAUGGCGCUAAGGCACAUUUUUGUCGUUUGUCAAAUUGGGGUAGUGCUUUUAGACUGCUGCAGGGUUUGCCGCAGGGGGGACACUCAAAAAUAGGCAACAGGCCUGCGGUGAAAAGUUGAGACCAACUCAACUUUUGAAGAAAUGCAACCCCACGUCACGCUGCGGUGGCCAAUCAUGUAACUGGCGAUCAGACUUGUCGGUGUGAGUAUCCCGUACAGGAUACAGGAUACAGGAAACCGGAAACGUCACUGCCUUGAUCGCUGCCACAAGAAAGUUU
Molecule: long non-coding RNA, 580 nt
Organism: Sander lucioperca (pikeperch)
Lineage: Eukaryota; Metazoa; Chordata; Actinopteri; Perciformes; Percidae
Exons: 2
Source: RefSeq, a predicted model, not a curated record